Rattus norvegicus (Norway rat) is the source of this 5142-nucleotide non-coding RNA. The record is from RefSeq and is a predicted model, not a curated record. NCBI's taxonomy places the organism in Eukaryota, Metazoa, Chordata, Mammalia, Rodentia, Muridae.
GCCCUUCCCGAAGUUCUUCGUCUAUCUCCGUGAGCGUUCGGCAACUUUCGGACAAAAGCUUCUCACUCUCCGGCUUCCUCCGGAAGCCUGUUGGUGAUGCUCCGGCUUUGGGAUGAAUCUGAGAUUUGGAGGCUCUUUUGGCUUUCGCCCAAUUCUCGGUACCAGGUCGGUGCUGGCGCCGACAAAUGGAGGUCCCACCGAGAUCGGAGAAGAAAGGGGGUACCACCUACGGGACGUCCCUGGAGCCCGGCCGGCAUAGGAGGAGAAGGGACGGAUUGGACGUAAGAUGGGUCAGGAAAGGCCUGGAUGAUUUGGGCUAGCCUGAGUAAAACUUGUCAUAAAAAAGGGACAAGGUAACGGUAAAGUGUUUUUGCAUAUGCGUUCUGUUAGAGUUAUAUUUUAGUCUUUGGACCCUGGCUAGAGAUAGUUUACACCCUAGACAUGAGAGAGAACGGGUUGGGGAAAAACAGUCCUCCCGGACUCUCCACGGUUGCUUUGGAGAAAGAAAAACCUUUUCAGAGCUCUCCUAGGAACAGAGGGAAAGCAGGAGACGUCCUGCCUCUCUGCUGGCUCCUAUUGGAGAAAUGUUUAUUUCUGGUUCUGGGUUCCAUAGGUAGGAUAUGUGGGUCCCUUCGGUGGGACACCAUCUAGUUUUUUCCCUUUAUGUCUAUUGUCUGUCCUUGGUGCACCAAGCUGUCCAUGUCUGUCAGUUUAUGUCUGUGGUUUCUGUUUCUCGUUGUUUAAAUGUUUUAUGUUUCAUGUUCAAAAGAAAAAAAAAAUGGUAAAAACUUUAUCUGUCAAUCGUUCACAUCUUGAUUUGGUUUUAACUCGUUUCAAAAAGGAACAAAUGAAUAAAAAGCAGUUUCAAUUGGCCUUUGGAGCCCUGCACCUGUAGCUUGGAGCAUAGGUCAGCUGGAGAAGCUGCCCGGGGGCUAACCGUCCCCAGGAACUGAUCUUAAAGGCUCUAGCAGCUCCUUGGCUUCUUUGGUACAGGAGCUGAUGGCUGUUUCUCUUAGAAAAAUCCCUGACUUAUUAUUAGACUUAGCAGGUGACAAGGUGCUUCUCUUAAAAUCAUAGCUAGAAAAGUAAAAAUGGUGCUUGGUCUAAAUAUUAAAGAUAGGUGUAGCCACUUCAAUUUUGUUUCUGAUUGGUUUUAAAUGUAUAAAUAUGCUCUAUAUGCCUUGGUUAUGGACUAUUGGCUUUUAGGUUAUUGGAUAUGGUUAAAAAAGUAUAAUAUUGGUAACAGAAAGUUGGCUUAAAACUGUUAUUUGGAUGAAGUCAUUCUAGACAACAUGUGGCAUGAGCCAACCUAGGGAAACAGGUCUAAAUUGAGAUAAUAUUUUUAUGGAAUUCGUACUCUAGAAACCAGGCUUCUAAAAGAUUUUAGGGCAAUGUCUCUUUGUUGAGGUAUUGGAGACUGCACCAUCGUGCGUUCAUAUGUAGGAAUUGGCAGUCAAACUUUGUAGCAUGAAGGAUAGACUCUUUGGAGACUAGAUUUUGGAGACUAGUUUGUUAGAGGUUAAGUUUUGCUUUCCAUAGUUGUGGUUUGCCCUGAAGUUAUCUGUAUUUUAAUGCUAAUUCCACUGCCCCAAGGACAGCUGCCUAGUCACUACUCAGAACUCAGGCGACCUUGUGGUUGUGCUCUGGUGUUACAAGGAGAACGUAAGGAUUGUGCUUAAGGAUUGCCAGUGGUGCAUUGACUAACUCAAACUUAUUUAUAAUUGAGAAAAAAAAAUCAAACAGGUAGAGAUUGUUACAAGAUUUAAGAAGGAUUGAUGAGGUUUUAGAACUUGGGAGAGCAUUACAGCUUGUUUGCUUACUUCAACUGCCAUUUCAAGAUAGAUUUAGAGGAUUGUUUUUAUGCAGUUUGUUUACAUCCUGGCAAUUGUGAGUUUUUAUUUUGUGAGCUUGCUUAUAAUUUUAGAGAGCCCAUGAAGUGAUAUCAUUAAAAAUUUUUACAAAAGAGUGGCUAAUAGCCUUAUGUAAUUUUGUUGCUUCUUCAUUGUAAGAAGUUAGAACUUAAAUCUUUCAAUGUAUAUGGGAAUUUUUACUACAAACCUUUGCUCUCAAAAUGAGCUUUAAUAUUUGGGGAGUAGCUGUUACACUACUCCAGAAAAGAAUAUUUGAAGCUAAUUUUAAGCUUCUAAGGAUAUGUUAAUUGGCUAAGUACCUCACCCUACCAGAGGACUUAGGUCUUUGUUAUGCACAUUGGAGAUAAAGCUUCAGCUGUGUUAGUACAGAGUUGUGGACUGGAGUCAUAAAAGUAUUUUAAAUAGAAACCUGGUAAAACAUAUCUUAUUCCAAACAACAGUUAAUUGGUUACUACAAAAUACUGAUAUUUGGCCUAUUACAUAUACAAAUUUUUCAGACAAAAUUGAUAAUUUUACUCUUUGCAUGCUUUUGUAUUUCCUGUAUAUUUGUGCAUACAACCCAUAGAAAAUGCACUUAGUGUAUUUAUAGGUGGUUCAUCUAAUGAAAAGGCUACAUGUAUGAUUGGAUCACUUGUUUAUUCUCUUGAGUUUCCCCUGCUUCAACACAGACUAUUAAAUUACUUGCUGUAGCCACUGUUUUUAAAUGUUAAAAAUCAAGCUUUCAAUUCAUAUACUUAUAGCCAAUGUGUGGCUUGUGGUUUUACAAUUGAUUAAAAAGUUUUCCUUUUUUUUUAGAUACUACUAGCCCUCAAAUUUUACAAUUACUUAAUGCUUUAUUAGAGGCAGGUUUUCUACUUGAAAUCAGUGAGUGAUUUCAGUGUGAAUGUCUGACAACUCACUGUCCUUUCAGUGCUCUGGCUCAGAGAACUAAACAAUACCAUAGACCCAGCUCUUUGAAAAUGGUAAUGGAGUUGAUAACACACCCUCACGAAAAGAGGAAGCUCCAUUUGCUUACUUUCAACGCCCAGCCUCACCCUGCCAACUCAGGGAUUUCUAAAUAAGGCUAAAUCUGGACCUUGUUUACAGGAUUUGACAUUUCUAAUUAAUGCUUAUGUUUAGGUAAAUAAAGCUGGUGAGGGGCUGGAGAGAUGGCUUAGUGGUUAAGAGCACUAAGUACUGUUCCUUUAUAGGCCAUUUAAAAACUCAAACUGUAUUGCCUGGACCCCUUAGCAAGGGAGGACAAUAAUACCAGGCAGAUUAUAGGCCUUACAUAGAAACAAUUAGUCAAAAAGUCUCAUUCUUUAUAUCAUCAAAACAAUAAUGCUGGAAACAAUAAUUUGGUAUACAAGUCAAUUUAUAAAUACAAGUGCUCAGUGUCCUCAAUUUAAUCCUCGAGGACUUAUCUUAAUAAAUAAUAUUUUAACAAUUUUAAUAAAUAAAAGGGGGAACUAUCCCUGAAUGCUAAUAAUGCUCGUUUUAUUUCAAUUAUAAAAUUUGGAUGCCAAGGUUUAUGGCACCCUACAACUAGGCAUACUUCUGCCUAGGUGAAAUAGAAAGACCCACAUAUUGGCAUGAUCCUGUCCAGGUAUUUUAUAUGGGGAAGAGGGAAUGUUUGUGUUUUUUCUACAGAAUGCUACAGGAGUGUGCCAGCUGCCUGAGAGUCUGGUGAGCCAUGCUGAUCCUGGGAGCAUGAAGAUUCAAUUCAGCUCUCGUGGUUCUGGUUCCUGGAGUCAUUCCUGUGCCCUUAGAGGAAGACGGAGGAUUCCCCCUCAUCUUUUGUCAUCACAGAAAUUCUGGCAUUGCUGCAGUCAUUGUGUCCUGUCCCAUCUCGGCCUGCCCUCCGACCCUCUGUGCACUGCUGCUUGCUGGAAGCUGCUGUGGACUGGGGAACUCUGCCCUGGUUCUGCAGAUCUCAGACAUGGUUCCAUUGCCUGCUGGUUGGUCCAGAGAAGAAUGACUGAUCCUGAACUGUCCUGGGAAAGACCUAGGCAUUUUCGCUGCUAUUGUGGCAGCCAUUACUGCUGCAGCCAUUGUGUCUGCAGUGUCUGGAGUUACCCUCCCCCAAUCUAUUGUUAGGCAAGCACAGUGGGUGAACUUUCUGGAGUAGUUGCUAACAAUUGGGAAUUCUAAAUUUUUAUUAUAGGAGCGGCUUGACUACGGCCCUUGGUGGUAGCAGCUGAGGAGAACCAGAUGAGGUGCCCACUACUUAUCGGGAGAGGCUCAACUUCCACAAUCUCUUAAAUUAAUGCCAUCUGGCUCCUACUCUUUCGCCCCUGGGCUCAAGUAAGAGGAAUGACAAGAUGAUCCAAUGUAGCUAUCCUCAGGGACAGGCAACUUCCUCUGACCCUUGACCAAUCUAAGGCAGGAACCUUGGGGGCGACAAGGUGAUCCUAUGACAGAUAAGGCUGGGGUUUGAGAGGUCGAUCCUAAGACAGAGGUGGCUACACCCCGUUUAAACGUACGGGCCGGUCAAAUGCUCCUCUGCCCAGUUUCUCCCCCAAUAAACACACACAUAUAGCCCAGAACGGUGUGUUACAGCAUAAGUUCAUUACUAGCCAUUGGGGUGCAGUCCUAACUGCAAGAGUGGCUCACCAUGGCCGAGCUGGGCACUCUGUGAGGCAUGUCUGAUCUCUCUCAGACCACUACCUCCACCUAAUGGUCUUUUAUAUAUAAAUAACGGGGGAGAUGUAGUGCCAUAUUGGAUUUGGGCCUGACUGCUUUGCAACUGCAUGGCCACAGUUAAGAAGUCAUGGGAUUGUUGGACAGAGGCCUCUCCCAUGUAUUUACGGCACAGGAAGAAAAGACCAAGUAGUAAACACCCGAUAUCUCCACUGCAUGACCUCUGCUGAGCCCGGCUGAUGCAUGUGGAACUGACACACCUGGACCACACCUGGGUGGUGGUCAACUUAUUUCUGCCUUUUACUUCCUCAGCCUUUAUCCUGGAGAUUUAGGCUGGUCUUCUGGGAUUUCUCCCUAAUUAAUUCAGGUCUCCUAGUUGGUCUUUUGUUACCAAAGUCACGAGCCAGGUAGUCACGAGCCAGGGUUUCCCACUGUGCUUCCCAGUUAUUUUCUACCUGGAGACUUGGGUAUAUAAGUGGUGAAUAAAGCUACAGGAGACUCUCACUAUUCCUCUCACUCUCACUAUUCCUCUCACUCUCACUCUUCCUUCCCAGCUUCCUCUCUCUCUCUCUCUCUCUCUCUCUCUCUCUCUCUCUCUCUCUCUUCCUCUCUUCCUCUCUUCCUCUCUUCCUCUCCUGGCUUGACACGAUAA